This 467-nucleotide ribosomal RNA is filed under the name uncultured bacterium. Its description in RNAcentral is "bacterial SSU rRNA". It matches the Rfam family "Bacterial small subunit ribosomal RNA", at positions 335 to 792 of the family's 1533-position model. The record is from RNAcentral.
ACUCCUACGGGAGGCAGCAGUAGGGAAUCUUCCACAAUGGGCGCAAGCCUGAUGGAGCAACACCGCGUGAGUGAAGAAGGGUUUCGGCUCGUAAAGCUCUGUUGUUAAAGAAGAACACGUAUGAGAGUAACUGUUCAUACGUUGACGGUAUUUAACCAGAAAGUCACGGCUAACUACGUGCCAGCAGCCGCGGUAAUACGUAGGUGGCAAGCGUUAUCCGGAUUUAUUGGGCGUAAAAGAGAGUGCAGGCGGUUUUCUAAGUCUGAUGUGAAAGCCUUCGGCUUAACCGGAGAAGUGCAUCGGAAACUGGAUAACUUGAGUGCAGAAGAGGGUAGUGGAACUCCAUGUGUAGCGGUGGAAUGCGUAGAUAUAUGGAAGAACACCAGUGGCGAAGGCGGCUACCUGGUCUGCAACUGACGCUGAGACUCGAAAGCAUGGGUAGCGAACAGGAUUAGAUACCCCUGGUA